This 240-nucleotide long non-coding RNA is filed under the name Malus domestica (apple). RNAcentral's name for it is "long non-coding RNA (MDOM_LNC009104)". The record is from RNAcentral. Lineage: Eukaryota; Viridiplantae; Streptophyta; Magnoliopsida; Rosales; Rosaceae.
AGAACAUACAGGUUCUAAUAGACAUGUAUUGGUUUAAUUUUGCAUGAAAAACUUUGGGUUUUCAUGGGUGAUAUGUUUAAGAGAAAACUUCAGGUUUUCAAACAAGGCAUGUUUAUAAGAAACUUCGGGUUUCAAAGUAAUUAUGAACUUCAGGUUCAUAUAUUCUUGCAGGCAAACACAAAUAUAUAUGCAAACAAAUAUGCAACAAAUAUAUGCAAAAAUAUUGUAUAAUGAUAAUUG